CAGUUUCGUACCACGUAAAUAACGUGGCACUCUUCAUAUAAAAUAGCCUAUGUUUGACCUAAAACAUAGGUCAAACAUAGGCUAUUUUAUCUGAAGAGUGCCACGUUAUUUACGUGGUACGAAACUG
Molecule: non-coding RNA, 127 nt
Organism: Paramuricea clavata
Lineage: Eukaryota; Metazoa; Cnidaria; Anthozoa; Malacalcyonacea; Plexauridae
Source: the annotation of a GenBank genome assembly